GAUGAACGCUGGCGGCGUGCCUAAUACAUGCAAGUCGAGCGAACGGACGCGAAGCUUGCUUCACUGAUGUUAGAGGCGGACGGGAGAGUAACACGUGGAUAACCUAACUAUAAGACUGGGAUAACUUAGGGAAACCGUAGCUAAUACCGGAUAAUAUCUUGAACCGCAUGGUUCAAAAGUGAAAGACGGUCUUGCUGUCACCUAUAGAUGGAUCCGCGCUGCAUUAGCUAGUUGGUAAGGUAACGGCUUACCAAGGCAGCAAUGCAUAGCCGACCUGAGAAGGUGUUGCCCCACACUGGAAGUGAGACGCGGUCCUGACUCCGAGAGGAGGCAGCAGUAGGGACGCUUCCGAGAUGGGCGGAAGACUGACGGAGCGGCGCCAGGUUGGUGAAGAAGGUCUUCGUGCCGGAUAACGCUGUUAGUGGUGUAAACCGUAUUUGUAAGGGACGGAGCACAUCGUGACGGUACCUGAACAGAAAGCCACGGCUAACUACGUG
Molecule: ribosomal RNA, 497 nt
Filed under: uncultured bacterium
Lineage: Bacteria
Description: partial 16S ribosomal RNA
Rfam family: Bacterial small subunit ribosomal RNA
Source: RNAcentral